Molecule: non-coding RNA, 479 nt
Organism: Pelobates cultripes (western spadefoot toad)
Lineage: Eukaryota; Metazoa; Chordata; Amphibia; Anura; Pelobatidae
Source: the annotation of a GenBank genome assembly
GGGAUACGUUACACGAAUAUAAAAUGUUCGGUAUUUGUACAGUUACUUAUUUUUAUGUAUUUUUAAUGUGUCAUUUAAAAUGGCGAUUUGCCUCUGUCCUGGGAGAUAAUUGAAUUACUUCUCAAUUAUCUCCAGGGCAGAGAGUAGGAAGCCAGGAUGCAUUGUGGGAAUAUUUUGCGACUGUAUGUCCUAAACUGAUACAUGUCUGUCCGUGGUUACAGUCUCCCAUUUGGACCCCUAGGGGAGUGUCCACCAAGUGGGAGACCUGCAUAAAUACGGGCGGGUAGCCCACAGUUAAGCCAGUUCUUGUUUUACCCUCAAUGCGGAGCUUGGUCUCGUUAUUGGGGGGAUUUACUACACACGGUUAGCGACUGAUUGCUGGAAACGUAAGCCGCUGGGAGAUUAUAUCUAUUCAGCUGUUAGCCGCGAUUCGUGGAUUUACUGUUCGGGAGUUUGGAGGAAUAGUACGGAUACCGUUC